GAUGAAGAACGUAGCGAAAUGCGAUAAGUAAUGUGAAUUGCAGAAUCCAGUGAAUCAUCGAAUCUUUGAACGCACAUUGCGCCCGCCAGCAUUCUGGCGGGCAUGCCUGUUCGAGCGUCAUUUCAACCCUCGACCUCCCUUUGGGGAAGUCGGCGUUGGGGACCGGCAGCACACCGCCGGCCCUGAAAUGGAGUGGCGGCCCGUCCGCGGCGACCUCUGCGUAGUAAUCCAACUCGCACCGGAACCCCGACGCGGCCACGCCGUAAAACACCCAACUUCUGAACGUUGACCUCGAAUCAGGUAGGACUGCCCGCUGAACUUAAGCAUAUCAAUAAGCGGACGA
RNAcentral lists this unclassified non-coding RNA (343 nucleotides) under soil metagenome. RNAcentral describes it as "partial contains 5.8S ribosomal RNA, internal transcribed spacer 2, and large subunit ribosomal RNA". The stretch from base 1 to 120 matches the Rfam family "5.8S ribosomal RNA", at positions 35 to 154 of the family's 154-position model. The record is from RNAcentral.